UCACCAUCCACCAUGGCUUGGAUUCUUCUGCUCUUCACCAUCCUAUCCUCCUUUGGGGCCAGUAUUCAGCAGCUGCAGAGCCUGAAGAAUUCAGAAUCUGUAGCUGUAGGUGGCACCGUCACCAUGUCUUGUAGCUAUAGUGGUGGGACCAUCUCUGACAACAAUUACCUUCGAUGGCUCCAGCAGAAGCCCAGAGUGCUAAGGCUCUUAGUUGCUACCAGCAACACCAGGCCAUCGAAUGUCCCAGUCCGUUUCACUGGGACCACCUCCGGGAACACCAUGUCCCUUACCAUCGCUGGAACUUUGGGUGAAGACGAGGCUACUUAUUACUGUGCUGUCUGGACUGGGAGCGGGUACACAGUGCUUGAUUCAGAUAGAGAAGUGAAACAAAAACUCUCUUUAGUAGACUGGGGCUGUCACAAUGUAGAGGAGAUCUUUAAUGGAUGUCUUGUGUGA
Molecule: non-coding RNA, 456 nt
Organism: Thamnophis elegans (Western terrestrial garter snake)
Lineage: Eukaryota; Metazoa; Chordata; Lepidosauria; Squamata; Natricidae
Source: the annotation of a RefSeq genome assembly